Molecule: ribosomal RNA, 497 nt
Filed under: uncultured bacterium
Lineage: Bacteria
Description: partial 16S ribosomal RNA
Rfam family: Bacterial small subunit ribosomal RNA
Source: RNAcentral
GAUGAACGCUGGCGGCGUGCCUAAUACAUGCAAGUCGAGCGAACAGACGAGGAGCUUGCUCCUCUGACGUUAGCGGCGGACGGGUGAGUAACACGUGGAUAACCUACCUAUAAGACUGGGAUAACUUCGGGAAACCGGAGCUAAUACCGGAUAAUAUAUUGAACCGCAUGGUUCAAUAGUGAAAGACGGUUUUGCUGUCACUUAUAGAUGGAUCCGCGCCGCAUUAGCUAGUUGGUAAGGUAACGGCUUACCAAGGCAACGAUGCGUAGCCGACCUGAGAGGGGGAUCGGCCACACUGGAACUGAGACACGGUCCAGACUCCUACGGGAGGCAGCAGUAGGGAAUCGUCCGCAAUGGGCGAAAGCUUGACGGAGCAACGCCGCGUGAGUGAUGAAGGUCUUCGGAUCGUAAAACUCUGUUAUUAGGGAAGAACAAAUGUGUAAGUAACUAUGCACGUCUUGACGGUACCUAAUCAGAAAGCCACGGCUAACUACGUG